RNAcentral lists this ribosomal RNA (497 nucleotides) under uncultured bacterium. RNAcentral describes it as "partial 16S ribosomal RNA". It matches the Rfam family "Bacterial small subunit ribosomal RNA", at positions 28 to 507 of the family's 1533-position model. The record is from RNAcentral.
GAUGAACGCUGGCGGCGUGCCUAAUACAUGCAAGUCGAGCGAACAGACGAGGAGCUUGCUCCUCUGACGUUAGCGGCGGACGGGUGAGUAACACGUGGAUAACCUACCUAUAAGACUGGGAUAACUUCGGGAAACCGGAGCUAAUAACGGAUAAUAUAUUGAACCGCAUGGUUCAAUAGUGAAAGACGGUUUUGCUGUCACUUAUAGAUGGAUCCGCGCCGCAUUAGUUAGUUGGUAAGGUAACGGCUUACCAAGGCGACGAUGCGUAGCCGACCUGAGAGGGUGAUCGGCCACACUGGAACUGAGACACGGUCCAGACUCCUACGGGAGGCAGCAGUAGGGAAUCUUCCGCAAUGGGCGGAAGCCUGACGGAGCAACGCCGCGUGAGUGAUGAAGGUCUUCGGAUCGUAAAACUCUGUUAUUAGGGAAGAACAAAUGUGUAAGUAACUAUGCACGUCUUGACGGUACCUAAUCAGAAAGCCACGGCUAACUACGUG